Molecule: ribosomal RNA, 468 nt
Filed under: uncultured bacterium
Lineage: Bacteria
Description: partial 16S ribosomal RNA
Rfam family: Bacterial small subunit ribosomal RNA
Source: RNAcentral
GACGAACGCUGGCGGCGCGCCUAACACAUGCAAGUCGAACGGAGCUGAGAGAAGCUUGCUUUUCUUAGCUUAGUGGCGAACGGGUGAGUAACGCGUGAGUAACCUGCCCUGGAGUGGGGGACAACAGUUGGAAACGACUGCUAAUACCGCAUAAGCCCACGAUCCGGCAUCGGAUUGAGGGAAAAGGAUUUAUUCGCUUCAGGAUGGACUCGCGUCCAAUUAGCUAGUUGGUGAGGUAACGGCCCACCAAGGCGACGAUUGGUAGCCGGACUGAGAGGUUGAACGGCCACAUUGGGACUGAGACACGGCCCAGACUCCUACGGGAGGCAGCAGUGGGGGAUAUUGCACAAUGGGGGAAACCCUGAUGCAGCGACGCUGCGUGGAGGAAGAAGGUUUUCGGAUUGUAAACUCCUGUCGUUAGGGACGAUAAUGACGGUACCUAACAAGAAAGCACCGGCUAACUACGUG